Molecule: long non-coding RNA, 2593 nt
Organism: Carya illinoinensis
Lineage: Eukaryota; Viridiplantae; Streptophyta; Magnoliopsida; Fagales; Juglandaceae
Exons: 4
Source: RefSeq, a predicted model, not a curated record
UAUCGGCCAAUCGUUUGCAACCUCAUCUUAAAAUCCCUUUUUACCAGACUCCAUCACGUAGUCCUUCACUCUUAUCUACCAGAAUCAUAGUCACUUCCAUUGUGCUGCUUCCACCACCAAUCCCUCUUCGAAACCCCUUUCUUUCUAUCGUGACCAGCCAAAUUUUUGCCGCUAUCGACGCUGAUUUUAUCGAAGCACCCCUCACAUGCGCUCGCUUAAUCGAUCCCAACUUCCGGUGACACCGCCGCAUACUCCGGCGACGCCUCUGAAUCCAAUAUUCCAACCACGCAACUCUCCGGGGACCGAUCGACAGCCCUCCCACCGUCUUCAUCGAACCCAGUGGUCACGCUCUCUCUCUCCUCCAAAAUCAACCCGUUAUCCUCUCCAGCCUCAACCAUUCCGCCUUCCCCUUUAUCUACAAGAUUCUCCGUCUUCAACCUUCCUAAACCGAAAUCCCCGAUCUUGGCCUUGAAAUUAGCAUCCAGCAGAAUAUUACUGGGCUAAUAUCGUUGUGGAUUACCGGCGGGUGACAAGAAUGGUGGACGUAAGACAGACCAGUGGCAAUAUCAAGAACAAUGUGGAAUAUUUUCUUCCAACCCAUGAGCUCCGAGUACUUGUUGUCGAGCAGCGGGUCCUGUAAGCUACGAUUGGGCAUGUACUCGUAGACGAGGAUGAGUACAUGCUGAGGAGAGAGAAGAUGUGAGGAGAGUGGAGAGCGGAGGCGAUGGGCGAUGGGCGAUGGGGAUAGCUCAUUGUGGAACUCGCGCUCGCCUUGGAGGGAGCCAGGGGAGUCAAUGAGCUUUAGUGCCAAACACUGGCCCGAAGGUAUAGUGAACCAAAACCACCUUAUGGGAUGUUCUUCUUCGGCAUCUCAAGUUCGACAAAACCGAUAAUUUUGCCCGACCCGAAUGGUUUGGGUUGAGUCGGAUUAUUUUUCCAAGCUAGCUUUUGCGGGCGAAGUCAGGCAUACAGAGGGGAUUCCGCCCGAAUGGUAUCCACACUAGAUUCAAACGCACCGUUUUGGAGUAAAUAGGCGGUGCAUUUGAUUGAAGUUAGAGAUGCCUCAUGUACACAUAAAACGGUGCGUUUCAUUUCACUGUAAACCCAUCUCCCCUAUUUCUCUACCCAUGCUCUCCCUCCCCUUCCCUCUCUAGCGAUCCCCAACCCUAACCCUAACCCUAAAUGGUGGCCAAAUGCACGCGGGAUUGGCUUAUUUUCCCACCGAUCAAGCUUGCAUAUAAAGACAAGAAAACCUUUGUCUCUCUUUCUCUUUGAAGAUUUCCUCUAUGGUGCGUUUCCCCUUCCAAGUCUGCCUCUCUUUCGUUUCCAUGCUCUCCCUCCCCUUUCAUUUCUGUACUGUUAUGAUUGAUGCAUCUCUUAUUACUUUCAUUUACUCAAUUUUGUCUUUCACCUUGUAGGGAUUUAUCAAUUCAUUUAUGAGUAGAGACUAGAGUGUUGUUUGGGGUGGCGAGGGAAUGAGUUCGAUGGCUGUGUUUUUAAUCUGUUACGACGUCGUUUCUAUUUUUUUUUUCCUUUUUUUUUUUUUGUAGAUUCUUGUAUAAAUAGACAGGACUCUCAUUACUUAAUUUUUGUUCAGAAUUGUUAAAACGUGAUUUGUGUUCGAGGUUGAACGUUCCUGGAGAACCUUUUCGUUUUCCAUCGUGUUUGUGAUUCUUGUUUCAUGAGUUGAGUUUUUUGGGUGUUCUUGGCAUUCUAAUCUGUUUUCUUGAAGAAAUACCAUUACAGAGCAUGAAAAGAAAAGGAGGAGAAGAAAAGAUUUUCUGUACAGUGUGUUUCCCCUUCCAAGGUCUUUUCUUAAGAAAGGAUAAUCUUAUUUUGACCUCAUCUCUUCAACAGACCGAGGUUGUUUCAGCAAAAUUUGUCAUGAAGACAGAUGAUGAUGCGUUCGUACGUGUGGAUGAAGUGUUGGCUUCUCUAGAUAGGGAUCAAUGUGACUCAAGGGUUGCUUUAUGGGCUCAUAAACUUGGCUUCCCAGCCGCAUCGCAAUCCUGAAAGCAAGUGGCAUAUCAGUCCUGAGGAAUGGCCUGAAGAGAGGUAUCCUGCUUGUUGGGUGCACGGUCCUGGUUAUGUGGUGUCACAUGACAUUGCAAAAGAAAUCUAUUGGAGAUACCAAAAAGAAAAUUUAAAGAUGUUUAAGCUAGAGGAUGUGGCAAUGGGCAUCUGGAUUGCAGAGAUGAAGGACAUUUUGAAAGUUCGGUAUGAGAAUGACGAGAGGAUCCAUAAUGAGGGGUGUAAGGAUGGUUAUGUUGUGGCGCAUUACCAAGGUCCCAGGGAGAUGCUCUGUUUGGGGCAAAAAAUUCAGGAAGGAAAUGGUGUUAGGUGCUGUGGUGAUCCAUGAGCAUCAUUAGUUGAUGCAAGAGGAUCUUUAUUAAGUCUAGAGGGGCGUUACCAUGGCUGUAAACUAGAAAUACUUAAGUCUAGAGUUUGUAGAGAUGCGCAUUUCGAAUGAACCAGAGGAUCUUUAUUGUGUGUAGAGAGAGAGCGCCUUGUACAGAUUCCACUCAGUUUUAGGAUCAUAAGUACUACUUCUCUGUAAUGUUGAUCCCAAUAUAAUAAACUUAACUAUUUAAUA